CUACGGGACGCACCAGUGGGGAAUAUUGGACAAUGGGGGAAACCCUGAUCCAGCAAUGCCGCGUGUGUGAAGAAGGCCUGCGGGUUGUAAAGCACUUUCGGUUGGGAGGACUGCUUCUAGCACUAAUAUUGUUGGAAGUUGACGUUACCUUCAGAAGAAGCACCGGCUAACUCCGUGCCAGCAGCCGCGGUAAUACGGAGGGUGCAAACGUUAAUCGGAAUUACUGGGCGUAAAGCGCGCGUAGGCGGCUAGAUCAGUCGGGUGUGAAAGCCCCGGGCUUAACCUGGGAACUGCAUCCGAUACUGUCGAGCUUGAGUACAGGAGAGGAGAGUGGAAUUCCACAUGUAGCGGUGAAAUGCGUAGAUAUGUGGAGGAACACCAAUGGCGAAGGCAGCUCUCUGGCCUGAUACUGACGCUGAGGUGCGAAAGCGUGGGGAGCAAACAGGAUUAGAUACCCGGGUAGUC
RNAcentral lists this ribosomal RNA (465 nucleotides) under uncultured bacterium. RNAcentral describes it as "partial 16S ribosomal RNA". It matches the Rfam family "Bacterial small subunit ribosomal RNA", at positions 339 to 795 of the family's 1533-position model. The record is from RNAcentral.